GGGGCGUUCGCGCUCGGGCUCGCAGCGCGCUCCGCCGAUCAACUGGCGAUUCCAGGUUCGAGUCCUGGGUGCCCCG
RNAcentral lists this transfer RNA (76 nucleotides) under Gemmatimonadota bacterium. RNAcentral describes it as "Gemmatimonadetes bacterium (soil metagenome) tRNA-Asp". The record is from RNAcentral. RNAcentral also lists the same sequence under 1 other name. Lineage: Bacteria; Pseudomonadati; Gemmatimonadota.